RNAcentral lists this ribosomal RNA (253 nucleotides) under uncultured bacterium. Its description in RNAcentral is "partial 16S ribosomal RNA". It matches the Rfam family "Bacterial small subunit ribosomal RNA", at positions 524 to 776 of the family's 1533-position model. The record is from RNAcentral.
UACGGAGGGGGCUAGCGUUGUUCGGAAUUACUGGGCGUAAAGCGCGCGUAGGCGGCUUUGUAAGUUAGAGGUGAAAGCCCGGGGCUCAACUCCGGAACUGCCUUUAAGACUGCAUCGCUUGAAUCCGGGAGAGGUGAGUGGAAUUCCGAGUGUAGAGGUGAAAUUCGUAGAUAUUCGGAAGAACACCAGUGGCGAAGGCGGCUCACUGGACCGGUAUUGACGUUGAGGUGCGAAAGCGUGGGGAGCAAACAGG